AUUGAACGCUGGCGGCAUGCCUUACACAUGCAAGUCGAACGGCAGCGGGGGAGAAGCUUGCUUUUCCUGCCGGCGAGUGGCGAACGGGUGAGUAAUACAUCGGAACGUGCCCUGUAGUGGGGGAUAACUAGUCGAAAGACUAGCUAAUACCGCAUACGACCUGAGGGUGAAAGUGGGGGACCGCAAGGCCUCAUGCUAUAGGAGCGGCCGAUGUCUGAUUAGCUAGUUGGUGGGGUAAGGGCCUACCAAGGCGACGAUCAGUAGCUGGUCUGAGAGGACGAUCAGCCACACUGGGAGUGAGACACGGCCCAGACUCCUACGGGAGGCAGCAGUGGGGAAUUUUGGACAAUGGGCGAAGGCCUGAUCCAGCAAUGCCGCGUGUGUGAAGAAGGCCUUCGGGUUGUAAAGCACUUUUGUCCGGAAAGAAAUGGCUCUGGUUAAUACCUGGGGUCGAUGACGGUACCGGAAGAAUAAGGACCGGCUAACUACGUGCCAGCCGCCGCAGUAA
This 508-nucleotide ribosomal RNA is filed under the name uncultured bacterium. RNAcentral's name for it is "partial 16S ribosomal RNA". It matches the Rfam family "Bacterial small subunit ribosomal RNA", at positions 30 to 523 of the family's 1533-position model. The record is from RNAcentral.